AUCUGGUGUAAUCAUCGCGUUUGGUUGCCAUCGUUACGACUGUCAUCUUCAAGUGCUUAACCGCCGCUUUAGCAGACGACAGCUGUAAACAAAAGCAAGGCCAAGAUCAAAGACACUUUUUUUUCAUUUUUUUUUGAGCAGCCUUUCCUCUUUUUAGGAUUGGAACAAAGAUUGGAAGCCUGGUCCAUAUCGCAAGACAGGCAAGAAAAAGUGAUCCCAAUUUCAUUGUAGAUGAUAAAACAAGCUGUAAAAAAUGAUAAUGAGCCUCCUGCAAUCUUUGAGGUGAGAGAAAAUUUUGAUGACAUUAAAAGGGAGAGUGAGGAAGCAGCAGAAGAUAACCCUGAAAUGAGCUCCAACGGAGAUGAGAAUGGAGAUGAUGAUUUUAACUUGGAAGCAUUCAAUAAGGAAUAUCCUGAGCUUAGUGACACAACACACCAAAGAAAAUAUGGAUGUAAAGAUGCUUGAAAGUCUUUUCAUCACAAGAAUGUUUUGACAGUGAUUAUUUGCGACUUCACGUCAUCCAACAUCGCUCAGGGAGGGAAGCCCCUUAAAUGUGACGUUUUUACGACCGAUCCAACUUGCGUCAACAUACGAGAUCAAGGGUGAAAAACUGGCCAUUUGUCCGUACUGUCCGCACAAAUACUUAAACUGUCUAAUGACAUGAGAAAACAUUUGACUAUUCACAUGAAUGAAAAAGCACUUUAGUAUGAUACCAGUGUUUAGGUAAAAUUUUCUCGCUUUAAACUGCGCUGAAAACUGGAUUAGUUGCCCACCAGCGGUUACACACAGGAGAACGUCGUUUUGCUUGUGAAUAUUGACCAAUGUGUUUCCAAUAUCACACGUCAAUGACACGAUUUGGCUAAUUCAUACAGAUUUUGUGCCCUCAGUGUGGUAAGAGAUUUACGCAAGUUGAAAAUAUGAAGCGUGAUAUGCUGACGCACACAUCAGAAAGCAAAGAACAACUUUAUCCCGGUCCUUUUUGUGGUGUUGAGUUGGCAUCGAAGAGCGACGUCCGAAUCCAUGUGGCCAAAGAACACGAGCAAAAGAAUAAGAGUCAGCAGCCCAAUACCACCGGAUCUUCAGUAGCAGAAGAAAAUCCUGAUUGAGAAGCUAACAAUGAGUUCAUAACUAUUUACUCGGAGCAGGACAAAUCUAUCAAGACUAACGUUGAAUGCGAAGAAACAAGAAGACAUUUGGACAUGCUGAUUCAUGCGGAUUGAUUCAUAUCUGUCGAACUUUUCCGCCAGAAGCCACCCAUUAGCGUGCUUUAGCGAUCGGUGUGUGUUUAGUAUCUGUGUGUUCUUACAAUUCCCGUUCCUUCUACUAUUCUUUCACUUUUUUUGUUAAAUUUCACACUUGGACUUGACGGCUCAGUUUUCAUGCAAUUAGCUUGUGUUAUUUAAAUUUUAAAUGUAAUGGCGCCUAUCAUUGCUGCAGUAACAUCACAAAUUACGAGUAAACGCGAUUAAAGUUUAAA
Daphnia pulicaria is the source of this 1477-nucleotide long non-coding RNA. RefSeq lists it as uncharacterized. Lineage: Eukaryota; Metazoa; Arthropoda; Branchiopoda; Diplostraca; Daphniidae. The transcript is spliced from 7 exons. The record is from RefSeq and is a predicted model, not a curated record.